AAUGCUAUGUCUGAAAAAGAGAUAAAUUGUAAAUUUAUUUAUGAAAAUUAUUAAAUAUUUUCUGGCAUUA
Molecule: transfer RNA, 70 nt
Filed under: Acropyga silvestrii
Lineage: Eukaryota; Metazoa; Arthropoda; Insecta; Hymenoptera; Formicidae
Description: tRNA-Tyr
Source: RNAcentral